This 1416-nucleotide long non-coding RNA is filed under the name Lathyrus oleraceus (garden pea). Its description in RNAcentral is "Pisum sativum (pea) long non-coding RNA (PSAT_LNC041185)". Lineage: Eukaryota; Viridiplantae; Streptophyta; Magnoliopsida; Fabales; Fabaceae. The record is from RNAcentral.
ACCCAUGAAAUUUGAUUGAGUUGUGGGAAUGAUGAAAAUGAUGAUGUUAAACCCAUGAAAUUUGAUUGAAUUAUGGGAAUUAUAGAAAUGAUGAUGUUAAACCCAUGAAAUUUGAUUGAAUAUUGGGAAUGAUGAAAAUGUUGAUGUUAAACCCAAGAAAUUUGAUUGAAUUGUGGGAAUUAUAGAAAUGAUGAUGUUAAACCCAUGAAAUUUGAUUGAAUACUGGGAAUGAUGAAAAUGUUGAUGUUAAACCCAUGAAAUUUGAUUGAAUUGUGGGAAUGAUGAAAAGGUUGAUGUUAAACCCAUGAAAUUUGAUUGAGUUGUGGGAAUGAUCAAAAUGAUGAUGUUAAACCCAUGAAAUUUUAUUGAAUUGUGGGAAUUAUAGAAAUGAUGAUGUUAAACCCAUGAAAUUUGAUUGAAUUCUGGGAAUGAUGAAAAUGUUGAUGUUAAACCCAUGAAAUUUGUUUGAGUUGUGGGAAUGAUGAAAAUGAUGAUGUUAAACCCAUGAAAUUUGAUUGAAUUGUGGGAAUUAUAGAAAUGAUGAUGUUAAACCCAUGAAAUUUGAUUGAAUUGUGGGAAUGAUGAAAAUGUUGAUGUUAAACCCAUGAAAUUUGAUUGAAUUGUGGGAAUGAUGAAAAUGUUGAUGUUAAACCCAUGAAAUUUGAUUGAAUUGUGGGAAUGAUGAAAAUGUUGAUGUUAAACCCAUGAAAUUUGAUUGAAUUGUGGGAAUGAUGAAAAUGUUGAUGUUAAACCCAUGAAAUUUGAUUGAGUUGUGGGAAUGAUGAAAAUGUUGAUGUUAAACCCAUGAAAUUUGAUUGAAUUAUGGGAAUUAUAGAAAUGAUGAUGUUAAACCCAUGAAAUUUGAUUGAAUACUGGGAAUGGUGAAAAUGUUUAUGUUAAACCCAUGAAAUUUGAUUGAAUUAUGGGAAUUAUAGAAAUGAUGAUGUUUAACCCAUGAAAUUUGAUUGAAUUGUGGGAAUUAUAGAAAUGAUGAUGUUUAACCCAUGAAGUUUGAUUGAAUUGUGGGAAUGAUGAAAAGGUUGAUGUUAAACACAUGAAAUUUGAUUGAGUUGUGGGAAUGAUGAAAAUGAUGAUGUUAAACCCAUGAAAUUUUAUUGAAUUGUUGGAAUUAUAGAAAUGAUGAUGUUAAACCCAUGAAAUUUGAUUGAAUUGUGGGAAAGAUGAAAAUGUUGAUUUUAAACCCAUGAAAUUUGAUAGAAUUGUGGGAAUCAUAGAAAUGAUGAUGUUAAACCCAUGAAAUUUGCUUCAAUGGUGGGAGUGAUGAAAAUGAUGAUGUUAAACCCAUGAAAUUUGAUUCAAUUGUUAGAAAGAUGAAAAUGUUGGUGUUAAAACCCUGAAAUCAGAUUGAAAUGUGGGAAUUAUAGAAAUGAGGAUGUUAAACCCAUGAAAUUUGAU